This 253-nucleotide ribosomal RNA is filed under the name uncultured bacterium. Its description in RNAcentral is "partial 16S ribosomal RNA". It matches the Rfam family "Bacterial small subunit ribosomal RNA", at positions 524 to 776 of the family's 1533-position model. The record is from RNAcentral.
UACGUAGGGGGCUAGCGUUGUCCGGAUUUAUUGGGCGUAAAGAGCGUGUAGGCGGCCAGGUAGGUCUGCUGUGAAAACUCGAGGCUCAACCUCGAGACGUCGGCGGAAACCAUUUGGCUAGAGUCCGGAAGAGGAGAGUGGAAUUCCUGGUGUAGCGGUGAAAUGCGCAGAUAUCAGGAAGAACACCCGUGGCGAAGGCGGCUCUCUGGGACGGUACUGACGCUGAGACGCGAAAGCGUGGGGAGCGAACAGG